Molecule: ribosomal RNA, 377 nt
Filed under: uncultured bacterium
Lineage: Bacteria
Description: bacterial SSU rRNA
Rfam family: Bacterial small subunit ribosomal RNA
Source: RNAcentral
AUUGAACGCUGGCGGCAUGCCUUACACAUGCAAGUCGAACGGCAGCGCGGGGCAACCUGGCGGCGAGUGGCGAACGGGUGAGUAAUAUAUCGGAACGUACCCUGGAGUGGGGGAUAACGUAGCGAAAGUUACGCUAAUACCGCAUACGAUCUAAGGAUGAAAGUGGGGGAUCGCAAGACCUCAUGCUCCUGGAGCGGCCGAUAUCUGAUUAGCUAGNGGGUGGGGUAAAGGCCUACCAAGGCAUCGAUCAGUAGCUGGUCUGAGAGGACGACCAGCCACACUGGGACUGAGACACGGCCCAGACUCCUACGGGAGGCAGCAGUGGGGAAUUUUGGACAAUGGGCGCAAGCCUGAUCCAGCAACGCCGCGUGAAGGAU